GACAGAAUGGCCGAGUGGUCUAAGGCGCUGAGUUAAGGCCGCAAUCCGAAAGGGCGUGAAUUCGAACCCCACUUCUGUAA
Molecule: non-coding RNA, 80 nt
Organism: Besnoitia besnoiti
Lineage: Eukaryota; Apicomplexa; Conoidasida; Eucoccidiorida; Sarcocystidae
Source: the annotation of a RefSeq genome assembly